GACGAACGCUGGCGGCGUGCUUAACACAUGCAAGUCGAACGGAAAGGCCCUGCUUUUGUGGGGUGCUCGAGUGGCGAACGGGUGAGUAACACGUGAGUAACCUGCCCUUGACUUUGGGAUAACUUCAGGAAACUGGGGCUAAUACCGGAUAGGAGCUCCUGCUGCAUGGUGGGGGUUGGAAAGUUUCGGCGGUUGGGGAUGGACUCGCGGCUUAUCAGCCUGUUGGGGGGGUAGUGGCUUACCAAGGCUUUGACGGGUAGCCGGCCUGAGAGGGUGACCGGCCACAUUGGGACUGAGAUACGGCCCAGACUCCUACGGGAGGCAGCAGUGGGGAAUAUUGCACAAUGGGCGGAAGCCUGAUGCAGCAACGCCGCGUGCGGGAUGACGGCCUUCGGGUUGUAAACCGCUUUCGCCUGUGACGAAGCGUGAGUGACGGUAAUGGGUAAAGAAGCACCGGCUAACUACGUG
This 468-nucleotide ribosomal RNA is filed under the name uncultured bacterium. RNAcentral's name for it is "partial 16S ribosomal RNA". It matches the Rfam family "Bacterial small subunit ribosomal RNA", at positions 28 to 507 of the family's 1533-position model. The record is from RNAcentral.